This 305-nucleotide unclassified non-coding RNA is filed under the name plant metagenome. RNAcentral's name for it is "partial contains 5.8S ribosomal RNA, internal transcribed spacer 2, and large subunit ribosomal RNA". The stretch from base 1 to 105 matches the Rfam family "5.8S ribosomal RNA", at positions 50 to 154 of the family's 154-position model. The record is from RNAcentral.
GAAAUGCGAUAAGUAGUGUGAAUUGCAGAAUUCGGUGAAUCAUCGAAUCUUUGAACGCACAUUGCGCCCUUUGGUAUUCCUUAGGGCAUGCCUGUUCGAGCGUCAUCUAAACCUUCAAGCCCUGCUUGGUGUUGGGUGCCUGUCCCGCCUCCGCGCGCGGACUCACCUCAAAUCCAUUGGCGGCCCCCGCGUCGGCCACGAGCGCAGCAGAAACGCGAACUCGUGAGCCCGUCCGGGCGGCUCCCAGAAGCUACACCCACCCAGUUUGACCUCGGAUCAGGUAGGGAUACCCGCUGAACUUAAGC